RNAcentral lists this long non-coding RNA (378 nucleotides) under Parus major (Great Tit). RNAcentral describes it as "lncRNA (ENSPMJG00000001042.1)". Lineage: Eukaryota; Metazoa; Chordata; Aves; Passeriformes; Paridae. The record is from RNAcentral.
GCCUACUUGUCCUCUUUGGUCUUUGACAGGAUGAAGGGGGGAGCCCAAGCAGCGUGUCCCAGUCCUGCUCAUUGCCUGAUUUCACACUUGCAGCUGAGGUCCUCAGAUCGCUGGCUGAAAACCAGAAGGCAGGAUAUGUGGGAAAACAAUAUUGUGAAGCUCUUAAUGUUCCCUUUGAAGAGAGCAUCAGGAUAGACCCCAAUCUUUUCCUGGAUUCUGGUGAACCACAAAAGUAAAAUCUUCAAAGGACCUAUCAAUUUCAGUUAGAAGGUGAACAAAGCAAGUCCAUGGAUAUUUCUGCAAUAUGCAGGUUUAUAUUGCCAAAAGGGACAACAAUGGAAGACUAAAAAAAGGAGAAAAAAAGAAAAUAAAAAAAAA